GGCCCAGACUCCUACGGGAGGCAGCAGUCGGGAAUAUUGCGCAAUGGAGGAAACUCUGACGCAGUGACGCCGCGUGCAGGAAGAAGGUUUUCGGAUUGUAAACUGCUUUAGAUAGGGAAGAAAAAAAUGACAGUACCUAUAGAAUAAGCUCCGGCUAACUACGUGCCAGCAGCCGCGGUAAUACGUAGGGGGCAAGCGUUAUCCGGAUUUACUGGGUGUAAAGGGAGCGUAGACGGCGUGCCAAGUCUGAUGUGAAAGGCCGGGGCUCAACCCCGGGACUGCAUUGGAAACUGGCAUGCUGGAGUGCCGGAGGGGCAAGCGGAAUUCCUAGUGUAGCGGUGAAAUGCGUAGAUAUUAGGAGGAACACCGGUGGCGAAGGCGGCUUGCUGGACGGUAACUGACGUUGAGGCUCGAAAGCGUGGGGAGCAAACAGGAUUAGAUACCCCCGUAA
RNAcentral lists this ribosomal RNA (451 nucleotides) under uncultured bacterium. RNAcentral describes it as "bacterial SSU rRNA". It matches the Rfam family "Bacterial small subunit ribosomal RNA", at positions 328 to 793 of the family's 1533-position model. The record is from RNAcentral.